GUGGAGCCUGCGGCUUAAUUUGACUCAACACGGGAAACCUCACCAGGCCCGGACACCAGAAGGAUUGACAGAUUAAGAGCUCUUUCUCGAUUUGGUGGGUGGUGGUGCAUGGCCGUUCUUAGUUGGUGGAGUGAUUUGUCUGGUUAAUUCCGGUAACGAACGAGACUCUGGCCUACUAAAUAGUCGACGGGCGUUUUGGUGCAUGGGCCCCGUUCGACACAGUCUUCUUAGAGGGAUGAGCAGCGAGUAUAGCUGCAGGAGAUUGAGCAAUAACAGGUCUGUGAUGCCCUUAGAUGUCCUGGGCCGCACGCGCGCUACACUGAAUGGGUUAGCGGGUUGUCCUUCUCCGAGAGGAGCGGGAAAUCGCGUGAAAACCAUUCGUGAUAGGGAUUGGGGCUUGCAAUUGUUUCCCAUGAACGAGGAAUUCCCAGUAAGCGCAAGUCAUCAGCUUGCGUUGAUUAAGUCCCUGCCCUUUGUACACACCGCCCGUCGCUACUACCGAUUGAAUGAUUUAGUGAGGCCUUCGGACUGGCGGUCUUGGACUGGGGCGCCGGCGUUCUCCCAGCGAUGGGGUGCCGGCGACUCGCCUGGACGGGCCGGAAAGAUGUCCAAACUUGAUCAUUUAGAGGAAGUAAAAGUCGUAACAAGGUUUCC
RNAcentral lists this ribosomal RNA (654 nucleotides) under Periclimenaeus bidentatus. Its description in RNAcentral is "SSU rRNA". It matches the Rfam family "Eukaryotic small subunit ribosomal RNA", at positions 1176 to 1804 of the family's 1831-position model. RNAcentral also lists the same sequence under 1 other name. Lineage: Eukaryota; Metazoa; Arthropoda; Malacostraca; Decapoda; Palaemonidae. The record is from RNAcentral.